This 308-nucleotide ribosomal RNA is filed under the name uncultured fungus. RNAcentral describes it as "eukaryotic LSU rRNA". The stretch from base 1 to 122 matches the Rfam family "5.8S ribosomal RNA", at positions 33 to 154 of the family's 154-position model. The record is from RNAcentral. Lineage: Eukaryota; Fungi.
UCGAUGAAGAACGCAGCGAAAUGCGAUAAGUAAUGUGAAUUGCAGAAUUCAGUGAAUCAUCGAAUCUUUGAACGCACAUUGCGCCCCUUGGUAUUCCGAGGGGCAUGCCUGUUCGAGCGUCAUUAUGACCACUCAAGCCCGGCUUGGUGUUGGGGUCCGCGGUCCCGCGGCCCUUAAAAUCAGUGGCGGCGCCAUCUGGCUCUAAGCGUAGUAAUACUCCUCGCUAUAGGGUUCCCGGUGGAUGCUUGCCAUCAACCCCCAAUCUCACGGUUGACCUCGGAUCAGGUAGGGAUACCCGCUGAACUUAA